Molecule: unclassified non-coding RNA, 622 nt
Filed under: Hevea brasiliensis (rubber tree)
Lineage: Eukaryota; Viridiplantae; Streptophyta; Magnoliopsida; Malpighiales; Euphorbiaceae
Source: RNAcentral
GCUGACUUUAGGUGAACAGGGCAGGAUGGAUAAAGGGUGUUAUCGGAAAUCUAUAAAUACAAAUUACAAUGAUUUUAUUGUUUAUUAAAUUAAAAUUAAGAAUAUCUUAAGAUAUAAAAUUGAACGUCCUCGAAGCUGAGAGCGCUGACAAAAUUUACCCAUUUUUGUGGAGAACUGACUGAUCUCACCCAGCGUCAACGUCUCGUCCGUCAGGCAAGCGUACAAUGUAGACCGUGGACCAUCAAGCAAGGUCAUGUAGGCAUGAAUGGGCCAGACUGAAACCCCAAGUUAGCUCAUUUGAAAUAACAGACUCCAGUCCAGCCCAAAUUCCUUUUUAUCUGUGUUAUUAUUCUGGCCUCAUGCAAUUGCUUUGCUAGUUUGCUCCUAUGCAAUGGCAUCAAACAUACCCUUCACUUACCUGUAAUAUGCUCCAUAUUAGCUAUUUUGGCAUCUGAAAUGGGUAAACUAUUACUAUUCCUACUGUUCAGAUACCCUAACAAAACAGAUCUCACCAUCCAGACAACUGAAUGAAACAUUAUUAUAUCACAAGUAGUAACCACAAAACAUUCAGCAUUCCCAGCAAAUUAGCAGAUUUCAAAAUAUAAGAGAUACUUCUUAGAAA